RNA transcript from Lynx canadensis (Canada lynx), 3580 nucleotides. It is a transcript of the gene named family with sequence similarity 102 member B, with no coding region annotated. NCBI's taxonomy places the organism in Eukaryota, Metazoa, Chordata, Mammalia, Carnivora, Felidae. The record is from RefSeq and is a predicted model, not a curated record. The transcript is spliced from 12 exons.
CCGGCCCGCGCGCCCCUUGGGGCCGCCCCCGCAUCCCGCUCGCCGGCGUCUGGCUCUCACGAUGAUGAAGAAGAAGAAGUUUAAGUUUAAGGUGGACUUUGAGCUCGAGGAGCUCUCCUCGGUGCCCUUCGUCAAUGGGGUCCUCUUCUGCAAGAUGCGGCUGCUGGACGGCGGCAGCUUCACCGCGGAGUCCCCCAGGGAAGUGGUGCAGGCAAACUGUGUUCACUGGAGAAAGAAGUUCUCAUUUAUGUGCAAAAUGAGUGCAAGUGCCACCACAGGCAUCCUGGAUCCUUGUAUCUACAGAGUAUCUGUGAGGAAGGAAUUAAAAGGUGGAAAAGCUUAUGCAAAGCUGGGCUUUGCAGAUCUAAACCUGGCAGAGUUUGCUGGAUCAGGAAAUACCACUCGUCGCUGUUUACUGGAAGGCUAUGAUACCAAAAAUACAAGACAGGAUAAUUCCAUUCUUAAAGUUUUGAUCAGUAUGCAGCUGAUGUCUGGAGACCCAUGUUUUAAAACGCCUCCUUCUACAUCAAUGUCUCUACCAAUUGCUGGUGAAUCUGAAUCUCUGGAAGAAGAUAGAAAAGGUGGAGAGACUCUCAAAAUCCAUCUUGGAAUAGCAGGUACGAAUCUUUCAGCAAAGAGUGCCUCUGUUCCAGAUGAACUUGGUGCCUGUGGACAUUCUAGAACAUCAAGCUAUGCAAGCCAGCAGUCAAAAGUAUCAGGGUAUAGCUCGUGCCACUCCCGGUCAUCUAGCUUCUCUGACCUCUGCCACAGGAGAAAUACCUCAGUGGGAAGCACAUCAACAGGAAUUGAAAGUAUUCUAGAGCCCUGUGAUGAAAUUGAGCAAAAAAUAGUUGAACCAAACCUUGAUACAGCUGGCAAAGAAGAUACCACUUCAGAACCGUUCAACAGAUGCCCAGUGAAGCAAGAUUCUGUAGAAUCUCAGCUGAAGCGAGUUGAUGACACCAGAGUGGAUGCAGAUGAUAUUGUAGAGAAAAUACUGCAGAGUCAAGACUUCAGCCUAGAUUCCAGUGCAGAAGAAGAAGGACUGAGGUUAUUUGUGGGUCCCGGGGGAAGUACGACCUUCGGCAGCCAUCAUCUUCCAAAUAGGGUGGGGUCUGGAGCUUAUGAACAAGUUGUGAUCAAACGCUAGAAGUCAAGCUGGUGAACUGAAGCUUCUUCCCUGGGAGUUUGAGACAUGGGCAAUCAAGCUGUCAAGGCACUUCAUUCAAGCAUUUAUGAGAAAAUGAACAUAUUUGAAACAUGAAGCGCGUUCCUCUAUCAAGAGGAAAGCCAACACUGAUUCCUUCUGUGAAAGUGUGUGCCACCAUCCUGUCCCACCCACCAAAAGGGAACAUCAGAACAGUAGUAUCCAGGUGCUGUGCCACGUGUGUUUAGAGGCACACAGCUUCUGUGGUCACUGCACAUGAUAAUGAAAGCCUGCUCUUUCUUUUGAAACAGCCAGGUGGGGAAAACAACAUUAUACGUCUGACUAUAGCUCAGUCCUGAAGUGUAAAACCUGUAGUAGAGGUAGGUGCUCAACAGGUUUGGGCUCUAAUUAUUUAAUUUUAAUGUUUGGGAGAUAGUAAGUGAAUGUCUUGAACCCUAUAAAUUCUGUCAAGAUAGUUACAAUCUCUUAAGGGUAUCUUCCAUAAUAUUAUAUACUACCUAUGGUAUUGUACUAGGUUUAUUAACUCUUCUUAGUUAAAUAAUUGAUAGAAAGUUUGGGUGUUCAUCCCUCGGGGAAAUGUUAUACUACAGUCAAAGCGUGGAGAAUGCUUAAUUCUAAAUGUAUCCGUCACAAGUGGAAUAAGCGUGUUUAAGUCUGAGAUGUGUGAAUGAGUGUAACGCCAUUAUUAUGCAGCAUGCAUUGUUACUUGUUAAUGUUAGAUGAGCUGCACAACUCCCGCUAGCACUAUAUAUGAGAUUCAAGCUAAGCUUAAUAUUCAGUAUGGUAGGCUCCCAUGAGGCACCUUAAGAGCUGUUCUAUUAUUCACUGAAUAAUAUCUGCUGGUUUCAGGAGUCAAAAUUCAGAACAGGAGAAAAACCUUAGCAUCAAAAGCCAAGCAGCCUUUUCUGUGUAAGUUCAGACUUAUCUGAAACUGAAAAUUGUUCCAAGGAGGUGGCAGAUAAGACAGGGGACAGCUGCUUGACAUUACUGACAUAGACUCGUGAUUUUCUAUUUUAACUCCCCACGAUGGGAUAGUAUGUUUUUUCCUUUACUAUAACAGUUGUUGUUUUGAGACAAUAAAAUAUAACAUAAUCCAAUGCAGCUUUUCAAGUAUUAUCUGAUCUGGAUCCAGUUUAACAAGCUCGAAACAUAGAUCAUCUUUUUAUCAGGUGGGAAGAGUUUUUCUGGUCUUACAUGACGAGUUUUAAUUUUCUUGGAAUCAUUCAGUCACUGCAGAAAAAUGUAGAUUCUUUAGAACCAGUAAUUCCCAGUCCUUACUUUCAAAACCAUGUCAAAAAAAAAUGUGGUAUGUUUGAAUAAUUUUGGUCUAGGUAUUUUUGUUUUGGCAAAGUAAAGGGAAAAUACAUUAAAAUAUUUCAAUACCCAAAUUUAAAGGUUUAGAAAAAGUUGAGUAGUUCAUGUUACAGUUUUCGGUUUUUUAACAAUUCAAGGAUUAGGUAUUCCAAAUUAAUCCAGUACUACUGUUGCACCUAGAUAUUUUUUAAAAGGUUAAAUUCCAUUUUAGAAUAUUUUGAAUGUUGAGAGAUAAGGUUUUCUGAGUCGUUACUAAUACUUUUGUUGUUUUGUUUUGAAAGGAAAAAAUGUGACCUGAACAUUUUAGUCUAACCAAGGAAAAUGUUAGCUGAAGUGGUAAAGACUUGCUUGCUCUCUGUGAUUAACAAGUCAAACUGGGACAGUUCAGAAAUUAUACUUGGUCAAUUCUUAGAUGGUACGUCAUGUGAAUAUAGUCAAGUACUGUAACUGAAAUUGUUAUGCCACUUUCUGUGUUGGCUUAGGUACUAUGCAUAAUUUUAAUAGCCAAGAUGUUUAAGAAUAUGAACUCUAAAAAUAUAAAGGAUGAAAUUAAGCCUGUUAACCUUAUUUUAAGACUACUCUGGAAACAAAGGCCUUAUUAUUACCUUAUAUGUGAUUUUUCAUAAGAUAAUAUAUACACAGUAUAUUUUAAUCAUGUGAGUGGUCUCUAGCUACUCCCUAUAUGACAAAGCUGGCAAAAUUUUUUAUUUACACAGCAUAGUCUGCAUUUACAAAUGUUUAUGUUCAUCUUAUAUAUAUAUAUAACAAAAUUCUCUUGCUGAUAUUCAUUGACCAAAUCCCAUGCAGAGAAAGACUUAGGAUAUAUUGUUUGAUUGUUUUUUGGAAAUAUGUCUUAUUCUGGAAGUUGGUAUACUUGUGGGUGAUCAUGUAAAUAUUUACCGAAAAAAAAAUUGUUAUGGAAGUGAUUCCAUUAGUAUUGUUCUAAUACUUGGAAAAUGACCUUCAUAUUUAUGUAUUUCUUGUUUUACUGUACAACUGUAAUUCCAGGAAAUUUUUUUACCAAAAAAAAAAAACCCCUUUUAUUGUAUUUGUAAUAAUGUUAAGGUGAAUCUUCAAUAAAAAUCAUCUUAAACUUUA